RNAcentral lists this non-coding RNA (81 nucleotides) under pig gut metagenome. Its description in RNAcentral is "Cyclic di-GMP-I riboswitch". It matches the Rfam family "c-di-GMP-I riboswitch aptamer", at positions 6 to 83 of the family's 87-position model. From Rfam's summary of the family: GEMM was predicted in a large-scale screen for bacterial structured RNA regulatory elements. Genes associated with GEMM are involved in a diverse array of functions, including chemotaxis regulation, signal transduction, secretion and chitin. The record is from RNAcentral.
AAAUAAGGGCACACUCGAUGAAAGUCGACGUCGCAAAGCUAAGGGUCUAAACUGUUUUUUAACAGCAUGAUUGCCAGCUGC